RNAcentral lists this ribosomal RNA (119 nucleotides) under Placozoan sp. JM511. RNAcentral describes it as "partial 16S ribosomal RNA". The record is from RNAcentral. Lineage: Eukaryota; Metazoa; Placozoa. RNAcentral also lists the same sequence under 10 other names.
CCAAAGCAAAUAAAAGGGAACUCUCCCUUGCUUUAUAAUAAAAUUGAGUAGACUAAGUGGGAAAAAAGGGAUGUUAGUCCCCUUUUUAUGGCCGAUUCAUUGGAUUGGGCCCCCAAAAG